RNAcentral lists this ribosomal RNA (253 nucleotides) under uncultured bacterium. Its description in RNAcentral is "partial 16S ribosomal RNA". It matches the Rfam family "Bacterial small subunit ribosomal RNA", at positions 524 to 776 of the family's 1533-position model. The record is from RNAcentral.
UACAGAGGUCCCGAGCGUUGUUCGGAUUUAUUGGGCGUAAAGGGUGCGUAGGUGGCAAAGUAAGUUGGAUGUGAAAUCCUGGGGCUUAACCUCAGAAUUGCAUUCAAUACUGCUUAGCUAGAGAGCUGUAGAGGAGACUGGAAUUUACGGUGUAGCAGUGAAAUGCGUAGAUAUCAGGAAGAACACCGGUGGCGAAGGCGGGUCUCUGGGCCGGAACUGACGCUGAGGAGCGAAAGCGUGGGGAGCGAACAGG